This 322-nucleotide ribosomal RNA is filed under the name Hyla savignyi (Savingny's treefrog). RNAcentral describes it as "partial 12S ribosomal RNA". Lineage: Eukaryota; Metazoa; Chordata; Amphibia; Anura; Hylidae. The record is from RNAcentral.
CCAAAGGACUUGACGGGACCCCACAUCCACCUAGAGGAGCCUGUCCUAUAAUCGAUAACCCCCGCUUAACCUCACCAUUUUUAGCUAAAUCAGCCUGUAUACCUCCGUCGUCAGCUUACCUCGUGAGCGAAAUUUAGUGAGCUUAAUGUCUCUACAUCAAUACGUCAGGUCAAGGUGCAGUAAAUGAAAUGGGAAGAGAUGGGCUACACUCUCUAAUCUAGAACAUACGAAAGACUAUAUAUGAAACCCUAGUCAGAAGGCGGAUUUAGCAGUAAAAAGGAACCAUAGUGUCCUUUUUAACCCGGCACUGGGGUGUGUACAC